CCUACGGGCGGCAGCAGUGAGGAAUAUUGGUCAAUGGCCGGGAGGCUGAACCAGCCAAGUCGCGUGAGGGAAGACGGCCCUACGGGUUGUAAACCUCUUUUGUCAGGGAGCAAGGUGCAGGUCGGGACCUGCUGUGAGUGUACCUGAUGAAAAAGCAUCGGCUAACUCCGUGCCAGCAGCCGCGGUACUACGGAGGAUGCGAGCGUUAUCCGGAUUUAUUGGGUUUAAAGGGUGCGGAGGAGGGGGCACAAGUCAGCGGUAAAAUUGUGGGGCGAAACCCGGCUCCGCCGUUGAAACUGUGUGCCGUGAGUGCGCGAAGGGUAGGCGGAAUGCGUGGUGUAGCGGUGAA
This 349-nucleotide ribosomal RNA is filed under the name uncultured bacterium. RNAcentral describes it as "partial 16S ribosomal RNA". It matches the Rfam family "Bacterial small subunit ribosomal RNA", at positions 338 to 685 of the family's 1533-position model. The record is from RNAcentral.